AAACGACUCUCGGCAACGGAUAUCUCGGCUCUCGCAUCGAUGAAGAACGUAGCGAAAUGCGAUACUUGGUGUGAAUUGCAGAAUCCCGUGAACCAUCGAGUCUUUGAACGCAAGUUGCGCCCAAAGCCUUUUGGCCAAGGGCACGUCUGCUUGGGUGUCACGCAU
RNAcentral lists this ribosomal RNA (165 nucleotides) under Aphyllon dugesii. RNAcentral describes it as "5.8S ribosomal RNA". It matches the Rfam family "5.8S ribosomal RNA". Rfam says of the family: 5.8S ribosomal RNA (5.8S rRNA) is a component of the large subunit of the eukaryotic ribosome. It is transcribed by RNA polymerase I as part of the 45S precursor that also contains 18S and 28S rRNA. Lineage: Eukaryota; Viridiplantae; Streptophyta; Magnoliopsida; Lamiales; Orobanchaceae. The record is from RNAcentral.